Molecule: ribosomal RNA, 574 nt
Filed under: Chaetothyriales sp. A859
Lineage: Eukaryota; Fungi; Ascomycota; Eurotiomycetes; Chaetothyriales
Description: SSU rRNA
Rfam family: Bacterial small subunit ribosomal RNA
Source: RNAcentral
UCUAUAAGUCUUGUCUAAAUUACGUGCCAGCAGACGCGGUAAUACGUAGAAGACUAGUGUUAUUCAUCUUUAAUGGGUUUAAAGGGUACCUAGACGGAAAAUCAAGCCAAAUAAAGGGACUAAUAUUAGAGUUUUAUAAAAGAAGAUGGAAUUUUCGGAGUAGAGUUGAAAUUCAGUUAUACCGUGAAGACUGGUAACGGCGAAGGCAAUCUUCUAUGUAAAAACUGACGUUGAGGGACGAAGCCUAGGGUAACGAUAAGGAUUAGAGACCCUAAUAGUCCUAGGAGAAAAUUAUGAAUGUCAUAAGCUAGAUUAUUUUAGUUUAUAAAUGAAAGUGUAAGCAUUCCACCUCAUGAGUAAAGCGGCAACGCUCAAAUUGAAAUCAUUAGACCGUUUCUGAAACCAGUAGUGAAGUAUGUUAUUUAAUUCGAUGAUCCGCGAAUAACCUUACCACAAUUUGAAUAUUUUACAAGUGCUGCACGGCUGUCUUUAGCUAAUGUCGUGAGAUUUGGUUAACUCCUCUAAUUAGCGCAAGCCCUUGCUUUAUUUAUUUUUUUCAUAAAGUAGUUCACCA